AGUGAACGCUGGCGGCAGGCCUAACACAUGCAAGUCGAACGGCAGCACAGUAAGAGCUUGCUCUUACGGGUGGCGAGUGGCGGACGGGUGAGGAAUACAUCGGAAUCUACUUUUUCGUGGGGGAUAACGUAGGGAAACUUACGCUAAUACCGCAUACGACCUACGGGUGAAAGCAGGGGAUCUUCGGACCUUUCGCGAUUGAAUGAGCCGAUGUCGGAUUAGCUAGUUGGCGGGGUAAAGGCCCACCAAGGCGACGAUCCGUAGCUGGUCUGAGAGGAUGAUCAGCCACACUGGAACUGAGACACGGUCCAGACUCCUACGGGAGGCAGCAGUGGGGAAUAUUGGACAAUGGGCGCAAGCCUGAUCCAGCCAUACCGCGUGGGUGAAGAAGGCCUUCGGGUUGUAAAGCCCUUUUGUUGGGAAAGAAAAGCAGCAGGUUAAUACCCCGCUGUUCUGACGGUACCCAAAGAAUAAGCACCGGCUAACUUCGUG
RNAcentral lists this ribosomal RNA (492 nucleotides) under uncultured bacterium. RNAcentral describes it as "partial 16S ribosomal RNA". It matches the Rfam family "Bacterial small subunit ribosomal RNA", at positions 29 to 507 of the family's 1533-position model. The record is from RNAcentral.